RNAcentral lists this small nucleolar RNA (154 nucleotides) under Caenorhabditis elegans. RNAcentral describes it as "partial CeN97 snoRNA". Lineage: Eukaryota; Metazoa; Nematoda; Chromadorea; Rhabditida; Rhabditidae. The record is from RNAcentral.
CUUUAUGUACACCGUCUUUGCUUGAAACAGUUUUUGUUUUUGCUUUGUUCGGAACGUUUUUCAUGGGACUGAGAGUUGGAAAUUUAGCACUGGUCGUUUACAGGGUUGUCCUGCAGUCAAUUCUAAGUUACCUUAGUUUAUGUCCCACACAUUU